This 345-nucleotide unclassified non-coding RNA is filed under the name Hevea brasiliensis (rubber tree). The record is from RNAcentral. Lineage: Eukaryota; Viridiplantae; Streptophyta; Magnoliopsida; Malpighiales; Euphorbiaceae.
AAAGAGCAGAUCAUAAUGUCCCUGAAUGGCGGAUUACAGGUUUCAGCAAUGUUCAUAACCAUGAACUUUUAAAGUCAACCGAGAUGCAGCUUAUUCCUGCCUACUGCACCAUGUCUGCUGAUGACAAGAGUCGCAUUUGCAUGUUUGUGAAAGCUGGGAUGUCAGUUCGGCAAAUGCUGAGGUUGAUGGAGCUAGAGAAGGGAGUUAAGUUGGGUUGUUUACCCUUCACAGAGGUCGAUGUCAGACACUUCCUACAAUCUUUUAGAAAUGUGGACCAGGAUAACGACCCUAUUGACCUUCUCAAAAUGUGCAAGGAGAUGAAAGACAAAGACCUGAAAUUUAAAU